This is a ribosomal RNA of 912 nucleotides. It matches the Rfam family "Bacterial small subunit ribosomal RNA", at positions 1 to 893 of the family's 1533-position model.
UUUUAUGGAGAGUUUGAUCCUGGCUCAGGAUGAACGCUGGCGGCGUGCCUAAUACAUGCAAGUCGAGCGAACGGACGAGAAGCUUGCUUCUCUGAUGUUAGCGGCGGACGGGUGAGUAACACGUGGAUAACCUACCUAUAAGACUGGGAUAACUUCGGGAAACCGGAGCUAAUACCGGAUAAUAUUUUGAACCGCAUGGUUCAAAAGUGAAAGACGGUCUUGCUGUCACUUAUAGAUGGAUCCGCGCUGCAUUAGCUAGUUGGUAAGGUAACGGCUUACCAAGGCAACGAUGCAUAGCCGACCUGAGAGGGUGAUCGGCCACACUGGAACUGAGACACGGUCCAGACUCCUACGGGAGGCAGCAGUAGGGAAUCUUCCGCAAUGGGCGAAAGCCUGACGGAGCAACGCCGCGUGAGUGAUGAAGGUCUUCGGAUCGUAAAACUCUGUUAUUAGGGAAGAACAUAUGUGUAAGUAACUGUGCACAUCUUGACGGUACCUAAUCAGAAAGCCACGGCUAACUACGUGCCAGCAGCCGCGGUAAUACGUAGGUGGCAAGCGUUAUCCGGAAUUAUUGGGCGUAAAGCGCGCGUAGGCGGUUUUUUAAGUCUGAUGUGAAAGCCCACGGCUCAACCGUGGAGGGUCAUUGGAAACUGGAAAACUUGAGUGCAGAAGAGGAAAGUGGAAUUCCAUGUGUAGCGGUGAAAUGCGCAGAGAUAUGGAGGAACACCAGUGGCGAAGGCGACUUUCUGGUCUGUAACUGACGCUGAUGUGCGAAAGCGUGGGGAUCAAACAGGAUUAGAUACCCUGGUAGUCCACGCCGUAAACGAUGAGUGCUAAGUGUUAGGGGGUUUCCGCCCCUUAGUGCUGCAGCUAACGCAUUAAGCACUCCGCCUGGGGAGUACGACCGCAAGG